Molecule: ribosomal RNA, 245 nt
Filed under: uncultured bacterium
Lineage: Bacteria
Description: partial small subunit ribosomal RNA
Rfam family: Bacterial small subunit ribosomal RNA
Source: RNAcentral
AGAAUCAACGCUGGCGGCGUGCCUAACACAUGCAAGUCGAACGAGAAAGGGGAGCAAUCCCUGAGUAAAGUGGCGCACGGGUGAGUAACACGUGACUAACCUACCCUGGAGUGGGGGAUAACUGAGGGAAACCUUAGCUAAUACCGCAUAAUACCCACGGGUCAAAGGAGCAAUUCGCUUGGGAGGGGUCGCGGCCGAUUAGUUAGUUGGCGGGUAAUGGCCCACCAAGACGAUGAUCGGUAUCC